UAUGGCCGUACCACCCUGAACGCACCCANNCCUGUCUGAUCUCAGAAGCUAAGCAGGGUCGGGCCUGGUUAGUGCUUGGAUGGGAGAAAUAAAACCAAGAACACAGCAACAA
Cavia aperea (Brazilian guinea pig) is the source of this 112-nucleotide ribosomal RNA. Lineage: Eukaryota; Metazoa; Chordata; Mammalia; Rodentia; Caviidae. The record is from Ensembl.